CGCACCCAGCGCGCGCCCAGGCGCCUGCGUCCCGAGUGCCCGCCAGCUCUUUGGCCACCUCGGCCGGCCCGGGAGCGCCGGGGGCAGCUCCGGGGGGCUUUGGAGUCGCGAGAGUGGCGGGGACCUCACCCCUACCCCGAAGCGCCGGACCGGUAGGGACGAUUACUGCAGCCGGGGCUGUGCACCCGCGGGAUCGGAGCCCGGGAAAAGGAAGCAAAAGCUUGGAACCUCCGCAGGCUGGACGAGGAUCCAUCUUUCACCUGAGCUGGGAAUAGACUUUGUAAAAGAUAUUAUGUAAUGGAGUCUCGGGCAGCUCGAGACGUCUCCAGCGAAGCUGCUGGUGAAUUAAUUAAGAGGUUCAGAUGGUUUUAGGUUUUAUCGCCCUGCUGUCUGUGCCGAGGUGCUGUAUCACGGAAGAGGGGGACUGGAAAGUGACAACUGAGCCCCUGACUGGAGGCAGACCGAAUACAAGUCUUGACGUGACGCUGAAGCCGUGGAUCUCACGCACCAUUAAUGUCAUCUGACAUUACCAUUUUGUUUCCCAAGCUCAUGGGCAAAAGUGGUAGAUUAUCAGUUCAUUGGUGGGAGCAGGACGUGUAAGAGUGUGUACAUUCAUGAAUGAAUGAGAAGGAGAAGAACUACAGACAAAAAGAUUUUGAAGAAUCUGAGGCGUAGACAACUGUGUAUAUGGAUAUCAGAUAUGACUCCAACUUCUUAUAAUCUCUGUGAAGUUCAUCUUCAAAGGAAGAUUUGUCACUGCUGGGACUAUUGAAAGAACUAAAACAUGUUCUAGAGGAAAUCAAAAGAGGAGUUUUAUAAAAAGAGUAGGCAUUGAUAAUAUUCAUGGAACAAGCACACACACUGUUUCUCCAAGUGACAGCUAACAAGGAGCCAUCAAGCAUUGAAAGUAAAUUCUGCUAUGAAAAUGUUCUUUAGAAUACUGACGUUUUGUAUUCAGGUCCUAGGUAUCAUACUACUUUGUCAUUGAAAUCAAAACUCAUUGCCUGUCCUCUGGUAGGAAAUUGCUCUGUCCCUUCCUUCAUUCUGGACACACAGCCAGCC
RNAcentral lists this long non-coding RNA (1062 nucleotides) under Heterocephalus glaber (naked mole-rat). RNAcentral's name for it is "lncRNA (ENSHGLG00100037734.1)". Lineage: Eukaryota; Metazoa; Chordata; Mammalia; Rodentia; Bathyergidae. The record is from RNAcentral.